CGAACGCUGGCGGCGUGCUUAACACAUGCAAGUCGAACGGUGAAGCGCCUUCCUUUUUGGUGGGUGUGGAUGAGUGGCGAACGGGUGAGUAACACGUGAGUAACCUGCCCCCUUCUUCUGGAUAACCGCAUGAAAGUGUGGCUAAUACGGGAUAUUCUGGGUCUGUCGCAUGAUGGGUCUGGGAAAGAUAUUGUUUCGGUGGGGGAUGGGCUCGCGGCCUAUCAGCUUGUUGGUGGGGUGAUGGCCUACCAAGGCGGUGACGGGUAGCCGGCCUGGGAGGGUGGACGGUCACACUGGGACUGAGACACGGCCCAGACUCCUACGGGAGGCAGCAGUGGGGAAUAUUGCACAAUGGGCGCAAGCCUGAUGCAGCGACGCCGCGUGAGGGAUGGAGGCCUGCGGGUUGUGAACCUCUUUCGCCAGUGAAGCAGGCCUGCCUCGUUUGUGGGUGGGUUGACGGUAGCUGGAGAAGAAGCGCCGGCUAACUACGUG
This 492-nucleotide ribosomal RNA is filed under the name uncultured bacterium. RNAcentral's name for it is "partial 16S ribosomal RNA". It matches the Rfam family "Bacterial small subunit ribosomal RNA", at positions 30 to 507 of the family's 1533-position model. The record is from RNAcentral.